RNAcentral lists this ribosomal RNA (889 nucleotides) under uncultured bacterium. RNAcentral describes it as "bacterial SSU rRNA". It matches the Rfam family "Bacterial small subunit ribosomal RNA", at positions 505 to 1397 of the family's 1533-position model. The record is from RNAcentral.
GUGCCAGCAGCCGCGGUAAUACGGAAGGUCCGGGCGUUAUCCGGAUUUAUUGGGUUUAAAGGGAGCGCAGGCGGGUUAUCAAGCGUGACGUGAAAUGCCGCGGCUCAACCGUGGAAGUGCGUCGCGAACUGGUUUCCUUGAGUGCGUGCGACGCCGGCGGAAUUCGUGGUGUAGCGGUGAAAUGCUUAGAUAUCACGAAGAACCCCGAUUGCGAAGGCAGCCGGCGAGUCCGUAACUGACGCUAAAGCUCGAAGGUGCGGGUAUCGAACAGGAUUAGAUACCCUGGUAGUCCGCACGGUAAACGAUGGAUGCCCGCUGUAUGCGAUAGACGGUAUGCGGCCAAGCGAAAGCGUUAAGCAUCCCACCUGGGGAGUACGCCGGCAACGGUGAAACUCAAAGGAAUUGACGGGGGCCCGCACAAGCGGAGGAACAUGUGGUUUAAUUCGAUGAUACGCGAGGAACCUUACCCGGGCUUGAACUGCACAGGAAGGAUACAGAGAUGUUGACGCCCUUCGGGGCCUGUGUGGAGGUGCUGCAUGGUUGUCGUCAGCUCGUGCCGUGAGGUGUCGGCUUAAGUGCCAUAACGAGCGCAACCCCUGUCCCCGGUUGCCAUCAGGUGAUGCUGGGCACUCCGUGGAUACUGCCACCGUAAGGUGCGAGGAAGGUGGGGAUGACGUCAAAUCAGCACGGCCCUUACGUCCGGGGCUACACACGUGUUACAAUGGGUGGUACAGAGAGUCGGGCGCACGCAAGUGCGCUCCAAUCAUGAAAGCCAUCCUCAGUUCGGACCGGGGUCUGCAACCCGACCCCGCGAAGCUGGAUUCGCUAGUAAUCGCGCAUCAGCCAUGGCGCGGUGAAUACGUUCCCGGGCCUUGUACACACCGCCCGU